RNAcentral lists this ribosomal RNA (373 nucleotides) under uncultured organism. Its description in RNAcentral is "bacterial SSU rRNA". It matches the Rfam family "Bacterial small subunit ribosomal RNA", at positions 526 to 896 of the family's 1533-position model. The record is from RNAcentral.
CGUAGGGUGCAAGCGUUGUCCGGAAUUAUUGGGCGUAAAGAGCUCGUAGGCGGUCUGUUGCGUCGGCUGUGAAAACCCGGGGCUCAACCCCGGGCCUGCAGCCGAUACGGGCAGACUAGAGUUCGGCAGGGGAGACUGGAAUUCCUGGUGUAGCGGUGAAAUGCGCAGAUAUCAGGAGGAACACCGGUGGCGAAGGCGGGUCUCUGGGCCGAAACUGACGCUGAGAAGCGAAAGCGUGGGGAGCGAACAGGAUUAGAUACCCUGGUAGUCCACGCCGUAAACGUUGGGCGCUAGGUGUGGGUUCCCUUCCACGGGAUCCGUGCCGCAGCUAACGCAUUAAGCGCCCCGCCUGGGGAGUACGGCCGCAAGGCUA